GCUAGCUGCCAGCCAAACUGAAGCAUGCUGACGCCUUUAGCCCCCUCAAUCUCCUGUUGUAUUGGAGGCUGGAGGCCAGCCAGUGGUAGGUCAAUAAGAGGCCUGUAGAUCUGAGGAGGGACAAGCGGUUUGUUUGGUGAGGGAUCUGACAGGCUUUAGAACUUCCGUCAGACCAGUGUUACUGCUGGCUGGAGCAAUAACUAACACAGACUAUGUCAACAUUCAAUGGUACACUAUUACAUAUAUAGCCUGUACUGGCUAAACUGUCCAAUAUAAUUGCCCCAAUACAAUUUCCAUCCUAAUCCUUUAGCCACAGUAAGGCAGUGGUGACGUGUUAGUCUUGACGCAUACAAAUCCAUUGUGCAGGGGUUGAUACACACCAGCCCCAAUUAUAUUUGGUGUAAAAUCAGAACAAUUCCUUACUUAACUUGAAAGUGCCUUACUCUUAGACUGCACCUUCUUGCAGUAGGCAGAUCUUGGAUAUCGGCCUUUCCAUAAUGUUGGUACUUGUCUUCAGGUGUACUGCACAUACUAACCCCCUGGAGUCAGUUUCAAUAACUUUUCCAAGUAUCCAUGCACUUCGUGGUGCCAUGGGGUCCACCAGCAGGACCACAUCUCUCCUUCACGGAGGCAGCGUUUCACUUUGCCCCACUUUUGCAUUUCUUGUAAGACUAGCAGGUACUUCUCUGUCCAUCUCUUCCUAAAAGAAUCUGCCAUGUACUGGACUUGUUUCCAACGCCGUCUGAUGUACAGAUCUGUUUUUUCGACAUUAACAGUGAAAUGUGAUUUGGGGUAAGGGCUUCUAGAUCCAGGGGGUCAUUGGUUACCAUGGUGAUUGGGUAGCUGUUUAGAAUGGCCUCUACUUCACACAGAAUGGAGCACCUGGCCAAUCAUCCCAAUGAGCCUUUCCCAGACUCCUCCGUGGUGGGACGCCCCAGGGGGAUUGAAAUUUAUUGUAUUUCUUCCUGAGGUAGAGCAUCUUGGAUCUUGCCUUGGUUUAAAGCAGAUAGAGCUUCUCUAAGGUCUCUCUCAGUACCAAUAAAGUUAGUUCCAUUAUCAGAUCUGACAUGUUUUUUAAAUGUGUUUUUUACAUUUCCUCUUCCCUUUUUGAUUUCUAUAGGACCAAAGUAAUCCACACCUACGUUGGUAAAUGGUGGGAUGUCUGUCAUGAUCCUUUCAAGCGGCAGAUCUUCCAUCUUCUGCUCAGCAAUCUUGCCUCGUUGCCUUCUGCACACAACACACUCUGAGAUGAUCAUAGGGCUCUGGUGAAAAGUAGUGCACUGUGUAGGGAAUAAGGUGCCAUUUGGGAUGCAACUUAAAACGAAUAUCAGGGUGAUAACAGAGAGGUGUGGUGGAUGCUCGAUCCUCAGUCUAACGUCUCUGGAGUAUGGAAGGAAAGGUGGUGGAGGCUCGAUCCUCAGUCUAACGUCUCUGGGAAGGAAAGGUGGUGGAGGCUCGAUCCUCAGUCUAACGUCUCUGGAGUAUGGAAGGAAAGGUGGUGGAUGCUCGAUCCUCAGUCUAACGUCUCUGGAGUAUGGAAGGAAAGGUGGUGGAUGCUCG
Molecule: long non-coding RNA, 1560 nt
Organism: Oncorhynchus tshawytscha (Chinook salmon)
Lineage: Eukaryota; Metazoa; Chordata; Actinopteri; Salmoniformes; Salmonidae
Source: Ensembl